UACGUAGGUGGCUAGCGUUGUCCGGAAUUACUGGGUGUAAAGCGCGUGUAGGCGGGAGGCCAAGUCUGUGGUGAAAUCGCCUGGCUUAACUGGGCGGGGUCCAUGGAAACUGGUCACCUGGAGGUCGGUAGAGGCAAGUGGAAUUCCCGGUGUAGUGGUGAAAUGCGUAGAGAUCGGGAGGAACACCAGUGGCGAAGGCGGCUUGCUGGGCCGGACCUGACGCUGAGACGCGAAGGCGUGGGGAGCGAACGGG
This 253-nucleotide ribosomal RNA is filed under the name uncultured bacterium. Its description in RNAcentral is "partial 16S ribosomal RNA". It matches the Rfam family "Bacterial small subunit ribosomal RNA", at positions 524 to 776 of the family's 1533-position model. The record is from RNAcentral.